AGCAGUAUGCAGGAAUCAUACGAAGAAGAAACCCUGUUCAGUAAAGAUAUGUCGCAGAUGCCUAUGGAACAGGUAUGGUGAAGAGGUGGAGGAAGUAGCUAGUUUGGAGGAAUGGAAGUGCCCGAAAUGCAGGGGCGCUUGCAACUGCAGUGUGUGCUUGAAGAGAAGAGGCCUUCAACCCAUGGGUGUACUUACCAAUGCAUGUAUAGUUUAAUUUUGAUUGAUGCAAUCAAUAAAACGUGUUUCAAAAAUGCAUACAUGGAAAGCGUAACUAGUUUUUCAAAUUCGUUAAGUCAUUUAUUCUUUCUUAGAAUUGAAGUUGUAGGCCUU
Molecule: non-coding RNA, 330 nt
Organism: Salvia hispanica
Lineage: Eukaryota; Viridiplantae; Streptophyta; Magnoliopsida; Lamiales; Lamiaceae
Source: RefSeq, a predicted model, not a curated record